CAAUUUUUGACCAAGUCAAAACAGCUUCCAUUCCUUCUUAUUUUCAUCCAGCUUAACCGAAAGCCAAUUUCCCCUUUCUUCACUUCAUGUUGGAGUCGAGAGAGAGAAGAGAGUUGAGAAAAACAAAAUUCAUCGUCUCCUUCUUAUCAUCAGCCAAGAGUUAAGGCUGAUUUAGCCAUGGUAAUUCCACAAAAUCUCCCUAUUUCGUCAAGCCUAAACCAUGAGUGAGAAAGAGACAAGAAAGCCAUAUUGGGAGGUGAAGAAAACGGAGGAAACCU
Molecule: long non-coding RNA, 278 nt
Filed under: Coffea arabica (coffee)
Lineage: Eukaryota; Viridiplantae; Streptophyta; Magnoliopsida; Gentianales; Rubiaceae
Description: long non-coding RNA (CARA_LNC003748)
Source: RNAcentral